RNAcentral lists this ribosomal RNA (497 nucleotides) under uncultured bacterium. Its description in RNAcentral is "partial 16S ribosomal RNA". It matches the Rfam family "Bacterial small subunit ribosomal RNA", at positions 28 to 507 of the family's 1533-position model. The record is from RNAcentral.
GAUGAACGCUGGCGGCGUGCCUAAUACAUGCAAGUCGAGCGAACAGACGAGGAGCUUGCUCCUCUGACGUUAGCGGCGGACGGGUGAGUAACACGUGGAUAACCUACCUAUAAGACUGGGAUAACUUCGGGAAACCGGAGCUAAUACCGGAUAAUAUAUUGAACCGCAUGGUUCAAUAGUGACAGACGGUUUUGCUGUCACUUAUAGAUGGUUCCGCGCCGCAUUAGCUAGUUGGUAAGGUAACGGCUUACCAAGGCGACGAUGCGUAGCCGACCUGAGAGGGUGAUCGGCCACACUGGAACUGAGACACGGUCCAGACUCCUACGGGAGGCAGCAGUAGGGAAUCUUCCGCAAUGGGCGAAAGCCUGACGGAGCAACGCCGCGUGAGUGAUGAAGGUCUUCGGAUCGUAAAACUCUGUUAUUAGGGAAGAACAAAUGUGUAAGUAACUAUGCACGUCUUGACGGUACCUAAUCAGAAAGCCACGGCUAACUACGUG